Molecule: unclassified non-coding RNA, 664 nt
Filed under: Pseudomonas aeruginosa
Lineage: Bacteria; Pseudomonadati; Pseudomonadota; Gammaproteobacteria; Pseudomonadales; Pseudomonadaceae
Description: partial contains 16S ribosomal RNA, 16S-23S ribosomal RNA intergenic spacer, and 23S ribosomal RNA
Rfam family: Bacterial small subunit ribosomal RNA (bases 1-144)
Source: RNAcentral
UUGCCCGUCACACCAUGGGAGUGGGUUGCUCCAGAAGUAGCUAGUCUAACCGCAAGGGGGACGGUUACCACGGAGUGAUUCAUGACUGGGGUGAAGUCGUAACAAGGUAGCCGUAGGGGAACCUGCGGCUGGAUCACCUCCUUAAUCGAAGAUCUCAGCUUCUUCAUAAGCUCCCACACGAAUUGCUUGAUUCACUGGUUAGACGAUUGGGUCUGUAGCUCAGUUGGUUAGAGCGCACCCCUGAUAAGGGUGAGGUCGGCAGUUCGAAUCUGCCCAGACCCACCAAUUGUUGGUGUGCUGCGUGAUCCGAUACGGGGCCAUAGCUCAGCUGGGAGAGCGCCUGCUUUGCACGCAGGAGGUCAGGAGUUCGAUCCUCCUUGGCUCCACCAUCCAAACAAUCGUCGAAAGCUCAGAAAUGAAUGUUCGUGAAUGAACAUUGAUUUCUGGUCUUUGCACCAGAACUGUUCUUUAAAAAUUCGGGUAUGUGAUAGAAGUAAGACUGAAUGAUCUCUUUCACUGGUGAUCAUUCAAGUCAAGGUAAAAUUUGCGAGUUCAAGCGCGAAUUUUCGGCGAAUGUCGUCUUCACAGUAUAACCAGAUUGCUUGGGGUUAUAUGGUCAAGUGAAGAAGCGCAUACGGUGGAUGCCUUGGCCCCACAGGCGAAA